UUUUGAUUGACGUAAUCAUCCCAUUAAAAUGUUUAUGGUACACUGUUAUGCAAAUUAAUGCACUCAAGACUUUUGAAAAUUGAGAGCUUUAUGGUACACUGCUGCAUUAUUUUACAGACAUUUUUCAGAUGGAUACCAAUCAAAUGAAGACUUAUCAAUAGCAGCUUGUGGUGUAUCCUAAGUCUCAAAACAAUAAUAUAACUAAAUUGCUGCCAAUCUAUAGUCUAAUGUGAACUGGCACUAUUGACAUUCAGCAACACCCAGUUGUUUCGU
This 273-nucleotide unclassified non-coding RNA is filed under the name Hevea brasiliensis (rubber tree). Lineage: Eukaryota; Viridiplantae; Streptophyta; Magnoliopsida; Malpighiales; Euphorbiaceae. The record is from RNAcentral.